This is a long non-coding RNA of Mastomys coucha (southern multimammate mouse), 1326 nucleotides long. RefSeq lists it as uncharacterized. The transcript has 2 exons. The record is from RefSeq and is a predicted model, not a curated record. NCBI's taxonomy places the organism in Eukaryota, Metazoa, Chordata, Mammalia, Rodentia, Muridae.
UUCUUGGGUUAAAGCCCUAGGUUCUCCCAUGGCUGAAGUUCACUUUAUAAGGGACUUCUAAACCCACUCUUCCUCUAAGUGCCUCAGGGUCUCCAGAGCUUUCCAAAACCUAGUUCACUCAAAGGUUCUGGCUUCAAUGGCCUUUGUUAUGUAAAUUCAAGAAAAAAGAAAACUAAAAUUUACUAUUGUAAUUGAAAACAAAAACAGUUCACUGUUUACAUUUCAGUUGGUGCCCUAAAGAAAGAUCCUAUGAUAUAGCACUUGUAGAGUGGGCCUUGCACCUCUCCUGGGCUGCACAAUAGAGCUGCCCCUGGGGAGAGAUGGGGUAAGCAGCCCAGAAGGUGAGUGCUGAAGAGCAGACCCUGAGCCUUGGCAGCUGCCUCAUUGGGACAAUAAGGAUUACAGGGUGAAAUCUUCUGUCCAAACUAAACAAAACCAAUUACAAACAAAAGAUCUGAUGAAAACUGAAGAAUGAGCAGACUGUAGAAAAUGUCCCUCGGGGAUCUGAAUUAGACCCACCUUCCCAUCCCCUUAUGUGUAGAAGCAGAAAGCCACCAAGACUGAGUGUCACUUACUCAUCUGUCAAAGCUACGUCAUGAGUGCAAUGUACCUACCCAUGGUGUGAGAAAUGCAGGAGACAGAGACAGGGACACCAGGCCUGGCCUUCAACAGCCAAAAAUCCCCGUGUGCAAACUCAGCCAGCUCAGCCCAGACAAGAAGUACGGAAUCCGAGCAUCCUCUGCAAAAGCAGCAGCUCCCCAGGGCCCCAAGCAGCCCAGCAGCCAGCCCUAUACCCAGUUCUCUUUAUCACUGUUUAUAUCUCUCCAAACAAACUCAAAGCCGUUUAUAAGAAAGCACUCCUGAGGAGUAUAAAGUGAAGAAGGAAGCCUUGGUGAAGGAAAGGGGAAGAAAGCAGACAGAACCUGAGAGCUGGCAACCACUGCAGUGACCGAGUCCCAACCAGGCCCUGAGCUUCCUCAAAGCCAAAGUGAAAAGAGAUACAGGAUGAGAAGAAAGAGCAAGCUCUGCUCUAUGGCCUGCACAUCACCUGGCCAUCGUGGAAGAUGGAAUUGAAUCUGCUUUGGGUGGGCAUGGCUGCAGUCCUCGAGUCCUGGCAGAUAGGCCCCUUAAUUCACUCCACCCACUGAGAACUCAGCAUCUUUUCAUCCAAGUGCCUGCACCUGCUUCCAGGUCUUGAGCAGCACAAAGACAUCAGUGACGAGUCUUUGGUGUCCCUCCUUCACACCAUGAAUGGGCCACAGGUUCUGCUGACUGCAGCUCCCCCCACAGCCCCCACCACAGUUAAGUUGAACGAACUUCCAAGUG